UGGGGAAUAUUGGACAAUGGGCGAAAGCCUGAUCCAGCCAUGCCGCGUGUGUGAAGAAGGUCUUCGGAUUGUAAAGCACUUUAAGUUGGGAGGAAGGGCAGUAAGCGAAUACCUUGCUGUUUUGACGUUACCGACAGAAUAAGCACCGGCUAACUCUGUGCCAGCAGCCGCGGUAAUACAGAGGGUGCAAGAGUUAAUCGGAAUUACUGGGCGUAAAGCGCGCGUAGGUGGUUCGUUAAGUUGAAUGUGAAAGCCCCGGGCUCAACCUGGGAACUGCAUCCCAAACUGGCGAGCUAGAGUAGGGCAGAGGGUGGUGGAAGUUCCUGUGUAGCGGUGAAAUGCGUAGAUAUACGAAGGAACACCAGUGGCGAAGGCGACCACCUGGGCUCAUACUGACACUGAGGUGCGAAAGCGUGGGGAGCAAACAGG
Molecule: ribosomal RNA, 429 nt
Filed under: Pseudomonadota bacterium
Lineage: Bacteria; Pseudomonadati; Pseudomonadota
Description: Proteobacteria bacterium partial 16S ribosomal RNA
Rfam family: Bacterial small subunit ribosomal RNA
Source: RNAcentral